RNAcentral lists this long non-coding RNA (233 nucleotides) under Geospiza fortis (medium ground-finch). RNAcentral's name for it is "lncRNA (ENSGFOG00000008153.1)". Lineage: Eukaryota; Metazoa; Chordata; Aves; Passeriformes; Thraupidae. The record is from RNAcentral.
AGAUGGGUCAACAAACAAUUUGUCUCAGAAGAAUUUAUUUAUUACCAUGGGUUCCACAGAGGACUUUACAGGAACUUGUGCAUUUUUCCUAAGAACAUCAGAUGAAGUUAUAACUGCAUCAAAUGUCUCUCAGGAGGUGAAUUUUGGCAUGUUUGACUGUACUAAUGGAAAUAUCCUUCAGGGCCUGGAGUUCUUCUUGUCCCAGAUCAUGAUACCGGCACUGAAAUCCCAAC